UACAGAGGUGGCAAGCGUUGUUCGGAAUUACUGGGCGUAAAGGGCGUGCAGGCGGUCUGUUAAGUCUAGGGUGAAAGCUCCCGGCUCAACUGGGAGAGGUCCUUGGAUACUGGCGGACUUGAGGGAGGCAGAGGAAAGUGGAAUUCCCGGUGUAGUGGUGAUAUGCGUAGAUAUCGGGAGGAACACCAGUGGCGAAGGCGGCUUUCUGGGCCUUACCUGACGCUGAGACGCGAAAGCGUGGGGAGCGAACCGG
RNAcentral lists this ribosomal RNA (253 nucleotides) under uncultured bacterium. RNAcentral describes it as "partial 16S ribosomal RNA". It matches the Rfam family "Bacterial small subunit ribosomal RNA", at positions 524 to 776 of the family's 1533-position model. The record is from RNAcentral.